Pangasianodon hypophthalmus (striped catfish) is the source of this 6874-nucleotide RNA transcript. It is a transcript of the gene named insulin receptor substrate 2a, with no coding region annotated. The record is from RefSeq and is a predicted model, not a curated record. NCBI's taxonomy places the organism in Eukaryota, Metazoa, Chordata, Actinopteri, Siluriformes, Pangasiidae. The transcript has 2 exons.
UUUCCUCACUGACCAAAGCUAGGAUGUGUGUAAACGUCACGCGUUGUUUUUCUCUCUUAUAGUUCAGUCAUUCUGAGAGCGGUGUUAUUUUGUGGCGAACCGCCGCCGGGCGCUCGUUUAAGCAGCGCAACUCUUGUUCGGCGUUAGUUUAGUUGGAUUUUGGGAUUGGUUGGGAAACAAGUUGCAGAAAGUGAGUCGGAAUAUUUUGAAGCGCCAGGAUGGCGAGUCCGCCGCUAACGGGAGGGACGUCGUUAUCAAACGUCAACAAGUAUUCAAACAACGUCAAGAAAAGUGGAUACCUUAAAAAACAGAAGCACGGACACCGGAGAUUUUUUGUUUUGAAAGAGCAAAGCGACUGCCUGCCAGCCCGGCUGGAAUAUUAUGAGAGCGAGAAGAAAUGGAAAAACAAAUCAGCUGCGAAAAGAGUCAUCUCUCUUGACUCCUGUUUGAGCAUAAACAAACGCGCAGACGCCAAACACAGGUACCUGAUAGCUCUCUAUACCAAGGACGAAUAUUUUGCCGUAGCUGCUGAAAACGAAAACGAGCAGGAAAGCUGGUACAGAGACCUCACCGAUUUAAUGAGUGAGGGAAAAGUGUAUGACAGCGCAGUAACCAACUCGGCGUCCUCUUUAGUGGGCUUUGACGAGGGUAAUUACGGUAUGAUUACUCCAGUGAACGCCGCUUACAAAGAGGUAUGGCAAGUGAAUGUGAAAUCUAAAGGACUUGGACAGACUAGAAACAUCACGGGAGUUUACAGGCUGUGUUUAUCAAGUCGGUCCAUUAGCUUUGUGAAACUUAACACUGAAGUUCCAUCUGUCAGCCUGCAGCUAAUGAACAUAAGGCGAUGUGGUCAUUCUGACAGCUUUUUCUUCAUUGAGGUGGGCAGAUCUGCCUCUACAGGACCCGGGGAGCUUUGGAUGCAGGCAGAUGACUCUGUAGUGGCACAAAACAUACAUGAAACAAUUUUAGAGGCUAUGAAAGCAAUGAAAGAGUCGUCAGAGUUCAGACCACGCAGCAAAAGUCAGUCUUCAGGCUCCAACCCCAUAUCUGUACCUACCCGGCGGAACUUGAACAAUUUGCCUCCCAGUCAGACAGGGUUGGUAAGGAGGUCAAGGACAGACAGUGUGGCAGCCACAUCGCCUAUCAACAAGUUUACUUCCUGUCGGAUACGCACAGCCAGUGAGGGUGAAGGCACCAUGGCAAGGCCAGUAUCCAUGUCGGUAUCAGAAAACGGAAGCCCCACUGUCCGGAAGCACAUGAGCAGGUCCAACACUGUUUCUGUGGGAUGCCGUACAUUCGAAGCAUCGCUUCUACAUCACAACCGAUCCAUGUCUAUGUCUGUGCCUGUAUCUCAUUCACCUCCAUCUCCCAUAAGCCCACUGAGCCUCUCUUCUACUAGCAUGAAUGGCUCUACCUCCACCUCAGCAGUACACAAACCUUCGAGUUGUAGUGGCUCUGUCUCAGGGUCACCUAGUGACACUGGCUUCUUGUCUUGUGAUGAUUACGGGUCCAGCCCAGGAGAUGCAAAAUACAGUGCAUCCAACCGGAGCAAUACACCUUCAUCCUUCUCUGGGACGCCCCCUUCCCGCGAAAGCACAGAUCUCCAUGGUUACGUGAUGAUGGACAGUCCAUCAAGCCACUCCUUGAAUAAGAUCCAGGCAUCCAGCAGAGAGAAGUUGGACUUAGAGAAGUUAUACAGGAAGAGAACUUACUCUCUUACAGCACCACAACAACCUAGGACCCCAUCUCAGCAGUCAUCAGCCUCACUUGAUGAAUAUAUGUUGAUGUGGGCAGUGUAUGCUAAUGGCAACUCUGGGCAGAGCACACACUCUGUUUCUCCAAAGAUUUCAUACCCUGAGGAUUAUGGGGACCUUGAAAUUGGCUCCAGCAGGAGUUCUAUCAGUAACCAAGGUGAUGAUGGCUACAUGCCCAUGACACCAGGUGCGGCACUACAAGGCAGCAAAAAUGACCACUAUGUGCCCAUGAGCCCCAUGUGUGUCUCAGCCCCCAAGCAGAUCAUCAAUCCCAGGUCCCACCCUCAGGCCACAGGCAGGCAAGGCACAACCAAUUCUCCCAGCACUGGUUCACUAGAGGACAGUGGUUACAUGAGGAUGUGGUCUGGCUCCAAAUCCUCAUUGGAGAGCACUGAUGUCAGAGUCACAAAUGGGGAAUAUAUGAACAUGUCACCUGUUGAUCCAUACGUCUCAGCAACUCCACCAGAUUAUGUCCUUGGAGGGUGUGUGCCAGCACAGCGACCCUCUUUCUUGCUAAAUUCUAACAAACAUGAAGGUCCUAAAAGAGGAGAGGACCAGUAUGUUUUAAUGUGCCCUCAGGGGCAUAAACGAGGAGAGGAGACAAACUGCAAUGCCAUGUCUAUGGCAAACCCUGGGCUGUCGUUGCCCAGUCCCUCCACCCUUAAUCCACUCAGGCAUAGUCGGAACGAUGGACUGUUGCACAGAGCACGAGUCAGCAGACAGAACAGAUUAUCUCUGGAUACUCUAAGGAUGCUCCCAAGAAUGAAUGAACAUCCCCUCCCCAGUGAGCCAAAAAGUCCAGGGGAGUAUAUCAACAUAGACUUUAGUGACAUUUCACAGUACUCCUUGCCCUCUGGAUCAGUGGAGAGCCAGGCUUCAUCACCCAGCCUUGGCAGCCUAAGAAGAAGAUCCCCACUUUGUGACUACAUGAACCUUGACCUGAACUCACAUUCCCCAAAAUCAGAAGAAACCCUUGCUAGUUCCCUACAUGAAAUCCCAGAGCUCACCAAUUGUCCAUGCUCAUCUGAUGAGGGAACGUACGUCUCUGACGAGCAGAACCCCUCCUGUUCACCUGGCACCAGGAAAGAUGAUUAUGCUGAGAUGAAAUUUGAUGAUGCACGCAUGUCUCCCUCAAUCAUCACGGAGAAUGGUGAAACCGAUAUGGCUGGUCCCACUAACAGGGUACAGCGGCUCACUCUGACUGACAAAAGCAUGCCAGGAAUAGGUGCAUUCCUCUUACCCAACUCCACAGUCGACCCUGAUGGAGAGGCAAAGGUGAUCCGAGCUGACCCACGCGGUCGAAGACGGCACAGCUCAGAGACCUUCUCGUCCACCACCACUGUAAUGCCGGUGUUUCCCUCUUUCGCCCACCAGUCCAAGCGGCAUAGUUCUGCCUCUGUUGAGAAUGUCUCGGUCCGAAGCAGUGAGGGUUCUGAUGAGGAAUACGGCAGCCCCAUGUGCAAAGAGACUUCCGCUGGGUUCCAGCAUGGUCUGAAUUAUAUCGCCUUAAACCUCAUGGAAAAUAGAGAGUUUGGGAACUGUGAAAAUAUGAUGGGAUUCAAGACUAUCAGUUGCUGCAAAGGAGGAAUAAAUGGUCUACACGACAGCCCGUAUGUUUCUCUGGGAUUCAAGGAGACAGUGACCACUGUAAAAGGUGAGUUCUUCUGACAUGUUAUUUUGUUAUGGGUCAUGCUGGCAGUUAAGACAUGAUGAAGCAUGUAGGAUAGGGGUCCAAUGGCGACAGUAGUCCUUACCACAAGGUUGAUCACCACAAGGUGUUGUUCAUAAUAAUUCUUUUUAAUUUGACACUUAUGCAUGAAAUAUGUAUGUUUAUACUCUAGCUUAGUCAUCUUAUUGUCAUUCUAGUUUUAGCUCCUCAGGUUUAUCCUGUAUUUAAAACAUUCAAUUGCACAUUAAGUUAUUUGUCAUACUUGGUUUAAGUAUAUAAUUAGCUUUAAUUAAAAGUACAUAAUUAUGUACUUGUGAAGACGCAUAAUAAGGUCUGUGACAGGAAUUUCACAUUUAUGAAUUUUUAUUCGCUCUAUUUUAAAAUUGUUUUCAUAAUAUUUUCGAUUUAGGGGAAUGAGAGAAAGUGAAGAAAAUCACUGGGGAAUAUGAGUUAAAAAUAACCCAAUACACUGCACGUCUGAGAGCAUUAAUCCGCAGUGUAUUCGGUGUUAUUAUGCAAUGCAUGGCGCAUUCAGUGGAACAUCUGUGUUCUAACAGUUCACUUCGGCUUUGCACGAUGAGACCUUGUUAUUGACUGAGAGAAUGUGUUUUUCACUCAGAGGAAUUCCCUGGAAUUUCAGACGUGCUGAACGUGACGAAGCGCAGUGGCUGUGUGCGGUGGUAAACAAACUGCGCAGCACUGCGCGUUAGGGGGAAGGCGCUCACGUUUUGCUCUUGCUCUCAAUGAAGGAUUAAAGAAUCGUGCAAUAAUCACACAGAAGUGCGUUUUAGUGCUUACAUGAGAAGUCGUUGGUGCUGAAUUAUUUAAAAAGCGCUAUUCUUAGGUGGUGGAGAGAACGUGAGAUUGUUGUUCUGAAGCUCGAGCUUACGUGAGAUUGUUGUUCUGAAGCUCGAGCUUACGUGAGAUUGUUGUUCUGAGGCUCGAGCUAAAGUGUGAUUGUUGUUCUGAGGCUCGAGCUAAAGUGUGAUUGUUGUUUUGAGGCUCGAGCUUACGUUUGAUUGUUGUUUUGAGGCUCGAGCUUACGUGUCCAGGACUACUUUCGUUCUCAUUAUGGUCCAAGUUUUCCAAGAAAAUGCUUUCUGUUUUACUUUAUCAUGAAGCUCUCGGAAUGUCUCAUGUAUUAAAAGCCAUCCACGACUUGCAGCAGGGAAACUAGCUCUGAUAAUUUGCCUAAUUAUGUGUGGGUGUGUGUGUGUGCCAUGCAGUGCUCUCACAUGUUGGAGCAAUAUGCUGCGAUGACUAAUGUAAGAGCCUGGGGCCUUUAACCAAGCAUGCUGUUUUUGCAUGUGGCUCAACACACAGCCUCGCGUGUUGUGCACCAUGGCACGUACUUCAAAUUGUUUCCAUCCUUCUCAGUGUUCAUAUUAUAACACGUCCAAUUGCAGCUGAGCAGUAACCCGUGAAGAUUGAUCGUCGCACGGAUCAUGGUGGUAGUGCAUGUCCGUGACCAGAGGCGGCGGCCGCUGCGGCUGAACAUUGCUGCUGUAGAUGAACUUUGACCUUCGACCCUCACUCUGCGUUCCUGACAGACUAAAUGUUGUUCCUAUCCGGGCUGGACACUUUAAAUGUGGCCACCUCUGCAAGCAUCUGCUCUGUCCUUCAGGAACUGCAAACUGCUGCUCUGUAGGUGACAAUGGUCACAAACUUGUGUUGUGUAUGUUGUAUAGUUUAUUUUUAUUGUUGUUAACACUUUAAUCAUAUUUGGUUGGCCCUGGUGGAAUGAAUAGAAUAUAGCCACACCUCACCACUCAUACCCUGCAAAAACCACACCCAGAAUGUCUAAUAUUUACUUACCAUUCAUACAAACCUCUACAAAGGUACAUAUUUAAUGAUUUAUUUAUUUCUAGUACAAUGACUAAUGUUCAUGAUAUUUAUUGAUUAGCAACAAUGACCCAGGAGACCGCUACAUGUCCUACCUCAGGAAGAGAGUCUAUUGUGGGUGUACAAAAUUCAGACAUAAUGCCGAUUUAUGUUUUUAUUUUUUCUUUGCAUUACCAAUCCAAAGCCUUACUGUUUCACUGAUAUAGAAUUUGCUGGAAUAUACUAAUUAGGACCUAUGUAAUAAGACAGAUCUAAAAAUGUAAAUUAUAUAUAACAUAUUUUUUGUAGAUGCUUAUUUAAUCUCACCUUGACUAAUGAGUUUCUAUAUGUAAAAGGCCACUUAUAAUGUAAUCUGGAAAUAUGUCUGAAAUAUGCAAGUCGAACCACUAAAUCACGUGGUUGUUGCACAUGAUGAUUGCCUACCUUUGCAAAGAUUAACACAGAAAUGAGUAUUAUUUUUAUGACCAAUUACACACACACAUCCACAUACAUAUAUAUGCGUAUAUAUCGUUAUAUAUAAUGUAUAGCUUGGUAAAGCGAUGCAUAUGUGCCCUAUUGUAAUGUCUCCCUUUUUGGACACUGCACCACAACUGCCACACGGUAUACCUCCACUUUGUUUCUCCUGUCACUAGUGAUAUUAUUGGUGGUGAACAUGGUUAUGUUUAAUUUACUGACAAGACUAAGCGGGGAAGUACAUGGUGUGUUUAGUAACUGGUAGAAACGCAGGCACUUCACAGUGGGUUGCCAGUUGUUGACAGCCGACACUGUGACUGCAAGCAGCUACAGAUUGUAAUACAUGACACUUUUGAAUGUAGUGCAUGUAACUCAUUUAAGGUGUGUGAGGGGGAGAAGUAAACCAAAAUAACCUUAGUUUUCCUUGUUUCUUUACCCCUGUACAAUUGUGCAAACUGUAAACAAAGCUAUUAUUAGACAAGCAGUUUUGCUGAGGGAAACCUACGAGAUCUCUUCUCUCUGAAAAGGAUUAAGAACUAAUCUCAAAAAUAAACUAAAUAACUAAACAUAGAUAACUAAAUAACUAAACAUAGAAAACAUUAAAUGUCUAACAAUUUGCACAGAUGAAGUGCUUAUUCUUUCAGCUAAUAUAUACCAUACUAUACUUUUUUUUUCCUAUAGGACUUCACAAAGAGACAAAAGGCACUUUAUUAAGUAAUUCUGUAAAAGAAAAAAAAACAGCUACUUGAUUCUAGGGCAAAUCUUGUUUUUCGGUACCAUCUGUUCACCCUCUUUAUAUGCAAUAUUUACACACGAAAAAGCAAAAUUAGUUUACAAAGAGGAACCAAAUGUGUAAAGACUCUUAAUGUAUUUGUUGAAAGAUUUUACACAGAGAUUGACUAUAUGCUGUUUGUACAUUUCUUUCUGCCAACUUUAUUGAACUUAAAAUUCAACAGUAUUCCUGGAGUAUAAUAUAGUAAACUAUUGAUUGAACUUGCUGUGUCUUCCAUUGUCCAAAUGUCAUAUCCUAUUCGUCGUGUUGUUCUAAUGCUAUUAAAUGAUCAUUUAAAGUAUCUUAGUAGAAUAUCUAUUUUAUUUGUGUUGAGAGAAGAUAGGCACAUGCAAUAAUUAAAUAAAUAUUAUCAUUUAAGUCAAA